CUCCCCUUGAGAGCUUGAGUCCUGCUCAGGCAGUUCCGCUCUGCCGAGGCGGUGUUUCUCCUACCUCUGAAGGCAGCACGUCUCACUGAGACCAUCACCGACACCCCCCAGGGUGACAGCCUGGCAAGCCUCAGCUCCCUGCACCACUUCUGAGUCACCUGGACAUUCCCAAGCCAUGUCAGCCUCCCAACCUGUGCGGCCGGAUGUUGCUCCUUCCGCUUCCACCACCACAAGAGACCUGCAGUUCUUGUUUCUGGCGCUCAGAUCCAUACCAGAAAACCAGAAUAUCAGCACAGUAAUAACAGCUGGCUAGAGCCCUGCUCUCUCUUCAGCCCUGCAGCUGUUCUCCCAUGUCACUUUAACUUUGUCUACAUUGUCGUAGUAUUCAUGAGUUCCAAAAAUAUAUUAUAAAAGUGGAAUAAAAGUGUGACACCUAUUUCCUCUUGCUUCCUCACUAUGGUCUUCUGUCAGUUUAGUCACAGAAGUAAAAAUAGAACCAAUUAUGAGGAAGGGAUGUCACAUGGAAGUAGCUUGAUAUUGUAUAUCCCAGUAAAAUAAUAGCAGCAAGGGUGUGCCCAAUUUCUAUAUCUGCUAAGAGAAAUGGCCUCUUGCAAACACUGUUCAGAAAGUUUGACUAAUUGCCAGCAUCAGAUGAAUAACAAAAUGCUGUCAAUAAAAGAAAUGAUUCUGUUCCUGUUAGCAACAGGGAAAACUGGCAGGAUUAGACCCGAAAGAGAGAGUAAUACAAAGGUCAUAUAUCUGAUUUCAGUCACAUAGAAGGAUUAUUGAUUUAUUCGAGGGUUACUGAAAUGAAGCUCUGGCUCAUGGUUCAGGUGAAGAUGGGAGG
Gallus gallus (chicken) is the source of this 847-nucleotide long non-coding RNA. Lineage: Eukaryota; Metazoa; Chordata; Aves; Galliformes; Phasianidae. The record is from Ensembl.